Molecule: ribosomal RNA, 19 nt
Filed under: Coursetia caribaea var. caribaea
Lineage: Eukaryota; Viridiplantae; Streptophyta; Magnoliopsida; Fabales; Fabaceae
Description: partial large subunit ribosomal RNA
Source: RNAcentral
GAGACCUCAGGUCAGGCGA